This 2672-nucleotide long non-coding RNA is filed under the name Salmo salar (Atlantic salmon). Its description in RNAcentral is "lncRNA (ENSSSAG00000109396.1)". The record is from RNAcentral. Lineage: Eukaryota; Metazoa; Chordata; Actinopteri; Salmoniformes; Salmonidae.
GUCCCACUUUAUGACAAUAGAAACAGGGACGCUCAUUUUUCUGGGGUGCUUGAUGUACUGCUGGCCGACUAGAGCUAAAAGUAGGCAACUCAGUGGCUCUACUCUCAGUAUGAGCCGAAAACACGCUCGUGUGUCAACACAAACUCGUCUGCCAACACAGACGCUUCUGACAGGGAGGAUACUUUCUGUUCAUUUAGGUAAACUACAAUGCGUUCGGUUGGAACUGUAUCGAACGGACAUCCCUCCUGGCAUCACCGGUUGACAGUGGGGAGAGUGGAUCAAAACGGGGCAAAGUGGCUGGAGCUUUAGCCUCGCCCUCAGACACCGACGGGCUUACCGGAGCCGCAACAUCCCCUACAGGGGUAGUCAACUCAGGCAGCGGAAACACAAGCACCUGCUCUUCCAACAAAACAUUUAACAUCAGUUUCUUAACCUCCGCCUUAACUAAACUGUGCGAAAUAGACAAUGAAUAAUGGUCAGGUCAUUAAAAUCAAUUUUAUGACAUUUGUCAAACACCUCCCACGAAGGCUUAUCCAAAAAGGAUUUCACAUCAAAAGUAGCCAUCUUGAACUACUACACCAAAACACAAGAGCCAACCAAUAGCAAACACUAAUGCUUCAUCAGCUAUUAUGCUCAACACUGAACUAACCUCUACAAUAAGUUGCACGAGCGGCAUGGGUGUCAGUAAUGACAGAUCCCGGAUGAGCCCCCACUUAUGUUACAAAUCCCUUUGGCCCUGCAGUCUAGGGGGGAUGGCAACGAGACCCGUAACAUAACUCAUGCAAAUUAUAAUAGUGAUAAAGAACAGUGAGAACAAAAACCACAGACAACUGAAAUUUACCGUCAAACACUAAAGGUUUAUUUUUAAACACACGGUAAAGGGGUGUGAGAAAAGGGGCUGAGCUGGACCCAAGGAAAGAAACAAUAAUCCAAAAACACCCCUAAACUAGACUAGCCUACUUCAAUAACAGCUAGUUCUAACUAGUGUAUUUAGACAAUGUUUUCCUAGGUGUAAUGUAGGCCCAUGGGCGACUGGUCUGGUUACCCCCUUUUCCCACCAUCAAACAAACAGUCAAACAACAAAACAAUACUCACAGGAUAACCGGACAAAUGUAACAUGUAGGAGCAAAACAAGAGAGAGAGAGAGAGAAAGAGAAAGAGAAAGAGGAGAGCGAGAGAGAGGAGAGAGAGAGAGAAGGAGAGAGGCGAGAGGAGAGAGGAAAGGAAGAGAAGGAGAGAGAGAGAGCUGGUGACACAGAGAGAUUGGACACAGAGAGAUUGACCACAGAGGGAUUGACCACAGAGAGAGAUUGACCACAGAGAAGGGAUUGACCACAGAGAGUGAGAUUGAACUGUUUAGAAAACUACUGACUGGGUUUUUAAACCAAGGGAAAGGGAUGUGAUUGGUUGAGGGAAAAGGAGCAGGUGUCUUGGUUGGUGACUGAUUGGGGAAUGAUGAUUGUCACCUGUGAGGGGAGAAGGAGAGAAAAGAAACACACACGGGAUACAUACACAGGAUACCUGUAUCCGUAACAAGAACAAACGAAAGAUAUCUCCGUUUCAAGGUCUCAGCUUUGAGAGGAGAAGCCUCGUGAGGUGUUGGUCUGUCACAUGUUAUUAUGAAACAGUAUUGGUCAGUCACAUGAAUGAAAGAAAACACUAAUGAUUAAUUAAUUAUGCUAAAUCAUGCAAAUAGAAUUUUUCUGUGUAUUGCCGUAUAUAAGACAACUGCUGGGUCUGCCCAGCGAGAGCUCCUGAUUGACAUGUGUACUAUGGUGCCUUGAGUUGGUUGGAACCUCUCCAGCACACUGACAAUAAACAAUGAUUCAUUUAAGAUUGACUUUGAGAGUCCCUGUGUAAGAAUUUUUCCACAACACCUGUAUUUGAGGAGUUUCUCCCAUUCUUCUCUGCAGAUCCUGAUAAGCUAUGUAAGGUUAGAUAGGGAGCGCCGCUGCACAUUUAUUUUCGGUUUCUCGGUCACCUCCCUAAUCAAGGCCCUUCUCCCCCGAUUGCUCAGUUUGGCCGGGCAGCCAGCUCUAGGAGGAGUCUUGGUGGUUUCAAACAUCUUCCAUUUAAGAAUGAUGGAGGCCACUGUGUUCUUGGGGACAUUCAAUAUUGCAGAAUAUUUUUAGUACCCUUCCCCAGAUCUGUGCCUUGACACAAUCCUGUCUCGGAGCUCUACGGACAAUUCCUUAGACCUCAUGGCUUGGUCUUUGCUUUAUAUAGACAGGUGUGUGCCUUUCCAAAUCAUGUCUAAUCAAAUUAAUUUACCACAGGUGGACUCCAAUCAAGUUGUAGAAACAUCUCAAGGAUGAUCGUUGGAAACAGGAUGCACCCGAGCUCAAUUUCGAGUCUCAUAGCAAAGGGUCUGAAUACUUAAAUAAGCUCAGGCGUUCGGCGUCACCGGCCUUCUAGCUGCUUCUGAACCUACUGUUGGCAAAUGCCCUUCACUCAUCAACCCCGGACUUGUCUCGUCAUCAUUACACACACCUGGUUCCAAUCCCCACUCUAUCACUGUAUAUAUACUCCCUCUGCCAUUUGUCUUUGUCGGUUAUUGCAAAUGUUACUUGUUUUCCUGAGAGGAAUCUCACCUACUAUUUCCUGAGUACUUUAUAUUUUGCACUUUGGGUUCGCCCUGUGCCUUUUUGUUUAUGAAGAUAUAUUUUCAGCAC